This is a long non-coding RNA of Cygnus atratus (black swan), 4143 nucleotides long. RefSeq lists it as uncharacterized. The record is from RefSeq and is a predicted model, not a curated record. The transcript is spliced from 5 exons. NCBI's taxonomy places the organism in Eukaryota, Metazoa, Chordata, Aves, Anseriformes, Anatidae.
AAACAGCCAGGAAGGAGGACUUGUCUCCUAUUCCACAGUGAAAUCUUUCUAUCUGUUGGUCAGUUAUGAGCUCAUGACAACUCAGUUCUCCAGAAAACUUCUUUCAGCCCUCCCAGCUGGAAGGCAGCUCUGCUGGAUAAGGCAUUUGAUCAAGACACAAAUCUUCAACAAUAUGUAACAGCACAAACUUAACGCAGUUUUUUCAAGCCUAAUAUAGAACAGCUUAUAUAAAAGGCAUAAUACGGAACAGAGCUUUGGCUGUCAAAUCUAGUAAUUGGUCUUUCUUUCUGGUCCAAGCCGUAUAUAUCCCCCAAAACCUGCCUGAGACAUGCAUCAUUUAUUAUCCGGAGUGCAACUCCAAACCGUCUCGGCUAUAUUUUUCACGAAUCAAAAUGUGACAUGGAUUUUUUUUUAAGGAAAUAUAACUGUCACUUGGAGUAAAGUGCUUUUCCAGGUGUAGCUGCGUUCCAGCUGCGCCCACCCCUCCGUGAGAGUGGAGGUCAAGAUGCUGGCAAAGGUGUAAAAAUCUCAGGAGGCUCAGUUCGGCCUCGGAUGCCAACAGAGAUGCAUGGCUGAAGGUGGCUGCCCCCAGUGCCACGGGGAAAUGGGUUAUUUCCCCCAUCUUUUCAGAAUGACCACCAUGGGAGAGUAAGGUGUUUGUAGGAUGUCCGGUCUUACAGUCCUGCCCAUCCACAGCCCCCCAUGUAACCUGUUUCUUUUGCCAGUGUCGGCAUGCACGCAGGCAGAGCUCAGACGUACAGCAGCUUCCUUAAUGAAGCAUACAGUGCCUGCACGCCUGCUUGUUUAGGUCUGAAAGGCUCUGAGCCUUUUAUCCCUAUCCAAGCAGGAAUUCAGCCUAUUGCCUGGAUACCUAUAAAUUCACCAGGGACAGACUUAAGGCCUCCUUUAGCACCAGCCUAUCGUGUCAAAGAGCUCAUAUGAAAUCAUGCGAUGCCGCCAUUCAGACCACAGUUACCCAUAUAAAAUGGGUAGAAUACUAUUGGCAGCUGCCAAAGAUGCUAAAGGGAUUUUCCAUACACCUCGGAAUGAAGAAUUUGGCCUUCCAACGCUACCGUUCUAUUUCUGUGCCAAAUCAGUACUAAAGUCCAUUACAACGAAAAAUUAGCCUAGCAAAACAUACUAUUUCAAAGACCCUGUAAAAUAAUUUAGAAGAAAAGCACUGCAAGGUUUUCUACACUAAAUAUAUCUUCGGACGAUACAGCAGCCAGCAAAUACGCGCUCCUUCAUCAAGAGCUGCGUUUCGACCUCGCCUGUGAGCACUUCAUUACUGCCUCUCAGCCAGCCUAAGUUGAACAGUCUGGAAGACAAGUCUGGACCAAUUUCUCCAUCCUGCCUCUGGCAGCAGAAUGCAGCAUUUCAGAUCCUCCACCGAGUCCCGGCUGCUUCAAAGGAAAAGCCCUACUUUCUUCCGUUAAGAUCAUAAGAAAUAUAGGGGGAGGGGGUCAGCUCUGUUUGGACAUAAUUACACUUCAUCAAAAGAAGCUUUCUUCAUCUUCCAUGCGUGAAAAGUCUGCAAGCAGGCUGGUUUAAAAAUGAAUAAUUACUGUGAGUACGUAAAGCAAAACUAUUUAGGUUGAAGCAAGGACUGAUAUAACAAACCCCUCUGAGGAUUCCUGCAGCAAAGACUGAAGUGCCAGCUUCCUUCAAGCGAUCCUUUCAAUCACUACCUCAAAUUUUAAGGCAGCUACAAGAAUCUUAAAUUCUUUUGAGACUCGCAGUGAUUACACAGGCUUUCUAUAACUGCAGUGCGCUUCCCAGGUUACAGAAGGUCCAAAACAGCUGGAGGACAAUGACAGCACUCUAAAUCUUCAAAAAAAUUGAAAGUCACCUGCUCUGACAUUUCAAGUAAAGGUUAAAUUUUGUUCAAGCCAAAGCUUAUAGCAAUUCAUAAAAAAGUCAGCCAGGUUACUAAAAAGAAAAGUAAGGCUUAUCUCUGCGGGUCAUAUGCAGUUUGAUCGUAAAGGGCAGGGAAGUCACUAGAAAGCUUUCUACCAAUAGCUGUAAGCCCUUAAAGAAUAUAACCUAUAGCACAUGUGAUAUGCAAAACCGCCGUAAUUAUAGCUCUUCUGCAACAACUUCAGAAGAAGCUCUGCUGCUAAAGGGAAUUCUGCGUCUCUCGUUACCGUGGCCUGAGAUGCACUAUCUGACUGUACAAAACUCAUCACAAAUAUCCUCACUUUCUUCCACUUUUGCUGUUCAAUUAAAAUAGGGAACCAAGGUAUUCUGUGAAUCAUUUUUGUAAAACUGGUGUCUCAAAAAUGAACAAAGACGCGGCAGAAAAACUUUGCAAGGGAGAAAACCGCUUCACUUGGUUGGACAAAGUUUGCUGAAGCUUGCGAAUAAAAGAUGCAUUCAUGAAAGGCUGACAGCGAUUUAUUUACACGCUAAUCUGUAUUUCCUUGUGAAAUGAGUCUGAUGUCUAGACUUUUCUUUUGCUUCACUACGAACACGUACAGCGCAGUGGCCUACCUCUUCCGCUUCUUCCCACAAAUCGUAAGUCAUUGAAUCUGGCCACCUGGUUCUUCAUCACGGCAGAAGCGUUUCGCAGCUCUGCAGAGUAGUUCUCAUCGUUUCCAGCCAUGACAGUGACCACGGUCCCAUCAGGCACUUCUCCCAAGGCCACCACCUGUUAAAACGGGAAGAAAAACCACAGCUUGUGAGACAGCCCUCGAAAACGCGUGUCGCCAUCCCAGCUUUGCACCCUGCCACAUUCAUGACGAAGCUCUGUGGCAGCUUCUCCAGCCAACUGUGGUGAACAGUCAUGUGUUAGCUGAACACAGAACAAAGUGCCACAUCAAACAAAGAAACAUCAUGUAUUGUCUCCCUCUCUCACAGCCUAAUAGGGAGUUACUUCUUUGUUACAUUUCUUCUGAAACAUUCAACAGCCUUAUGUAGAGGGCCUGGUUUAAUACUUCCUGAAGGCCAACUUUGUUCUCAGCAACCAGCGUGCAGCGAGAAAACACGAGGCAGGGCUCGUAGCCAUAAAUUACACACGAGAGCACAUUUGAAAUGGAAAGUCGGGGAUUGCUAUCAGCAGCCACAGCACCCGGGUUGGGUUGGCAGUGGUCGGGCCCAGCCUCCCGGCCUGUGGCCUCCUCGGGCCUCACGGGACCACCAGCAGCGCCCGCGGACCCGUCGUGAGGGGUGGCACCGGGGUGGCACCGGGCACAGCUCACAGUGAGCUGCGAUGGAGCGCUUCGUGGCUUCAAGUCAAGCUCUUCAGAUGCAAGAUGAAACAAAGGCUGCAUUUCCUCGCAGGCAUGUAAAUCUUCAGAGCGCUCGCAAGAGUCGCGUGUGGUUAGCACCGAUACCCCGCUCAAAUUCCAGGACGGGUGAGCAGAAUAAAUUAAAGUAUUUCUCCCUACAUUGCAGCUCCCUGAUAGUCCCACUUUCAUGCCUUGGCGGUUCUGUAGCGCUCUAACCGACGAUGAGAUAAAUGCCACAGAGCGGACAGCCACUGUAUUCUAAUUUGAAAACACCAGUGAUACCCACGGUAUUAGCACACUGUGACUUUUUAAAGCAAAAAUAAAGUUAAACAGGAACACUAAGUUACUAGGAAGAAAACAUACAAGUUUCUUCACACAGGAUAAAAAAAGUCCACAGAAGUGGAAAUAAUUUCCUGUUGCCCAGUUAACUAAUACUGAUGCUAGAAAUGCAUUUACAACAAAAACAGGUCCACAAAUAUUGCAUGGCUGAGCUGUAACUUCAAAAAAAUGUAAUUUUGAGAUACAAAACCUGUCCUUUUGCAAUUCCUACCAGUUUACAUGGUCAGCUAUGACUUUUUAUAUAACCCAUUUUAUUCUGUCUCCUGAAAUAUGUAUGACAUUUUGUCAGAAGCCCUGCUUGAAAUGUCUUUCCCAUAAAUGAUCAUGCCUGAAACUAAUAAUUGAAGGUGCACUGUAAUAUUAAUUAAGCAAAAAGAAUGAGUUCUGAAUAUAUAUGGAGAGCAUUACAUGGCCCAGUGCACUGUAAAGUGUUUCUCUACAACAACAAAAAUUAAUGACAAAGGUAUACAAAACCUGAAAAUAUUUAAAAUAGACUAUAUUAUUGAAAAAUAGUCUACUUCAUCUUACUUAAGGGAAAGCAUAAAGCAAAGCUGAUUGAAAAAAACAAAAUGGAUUA